Molecule: long non-coding RNA, 773 nt
Organism: Oreochromis niloticus (Nile tilapia)
Lineage: Eukaryota; Metazoa; Chordata; Actinopteri; Cichliformes; Cichlidae
Exons: 4
Source: RefSeq, a predicted model, not a curated record
CAGGUUCAUAAGGGAUAUAAGGAAGUUUUUUUCAAAAAAAGGAGCAACAUUCAGUCCAAAGAGGGAGAGAGGAAAGAGGGAACGUCAGGAGAAAGUACAUGGUCAGGAAGAAGCAGUCUCAUCUGCUUUUCCCCCCCUGCCUGUUUGGAAUCUCGGAUCAUUACUCCUCUGGACUCACCCAGGCCUCGUCUCCUCGCCUCCCCCGCCUGUUAAACUCCACCUGAGAACAAUGCCUCUCCACCAUCGGCUCCUGUACCCCUGUUCCCCUUGCUGAGCUUUGCCUAUCACAGUUCAUGUUCAAAUUUCGCAGUAAUCUCAUAGCUCUAGCUCAGUAUUUUUCCCGUUCACAUUCAUAGCACUGAAUUCACUUUGUCUGAGACUUCAUAGUUCAUGGUCAUUCACCCUAGCCUCAUUCCUGGCUUUUGCACCUGUAAAUAUUAUCACAACACCAUUGUAAAUAAAACUCUUGUUCACAUGUGAAAUCUGAAAUGUGAGACGUGUGUCUGCAAUCUGCUGUGUAAAGCUAUUGUGUGCCAGAUCCUUGAGAAAGAAUCUACAAUUGUGCAAAAUGAUGAUUAGUAAAAAAUGACACCUUUGCUAUGUAAAGUAAGUUGCCCUUUUAAAUUAACAUAAAAAGAAAUGCUAUUUUUUUUCUUUGGCAAUUUAUUAUUACUAUUGACAGAAAAUUUCAUAACUCAAAACAACUUAAAGCUAUAAAACUGUUAGAGAGCUACAGAGACAGGAGAUUUAAAGAAUGAUCAGGUGAAGGAUUG